RNAcentral lists this ribosomal RNA (1419 nucleotides) under Campylobacter hyointestinalis subsp. hyointestinalis. RNAcentral describes it as "bacterial SSU rRNA". It matches the Rfam family "Bacterial small subunit ribosomal RNA". Lineage: Bacteria; Pseudomonadati; Campylobacterota; Epsilonproteobacteria; Campylobacterales; Campylobacteraceae. The record is from RNAcentral.
GGCGGCGUGCCUAAUACAUGCAAGUCGAACGGACAAGUAAGAGCUUGCUCUUAUGAGUUAGUGGCGUACGGGUGAGUAAUGUAUAGUUAAUCUGCCCUACACUGGAGGACAACAGUUAGAAAUGACUGCUAAUACUCCAUACUCCUUCUUAGCACAAGUUAAGUCGGGAAAGUUUUUUCGGUGUAGGAUGAGACUAUAUUGUAUCAGCUAGUUGGUGAGGUAAUGGCUUACCAAGGCUAUGACGCAUAACUGGUCUGAGAGGAUGAUCAGUCACACUGGAACUGAGACACGGUCCAGACUCCUACGGGAGGCAGCAGUAGGGAAUAUUGCUCAAUGGGGGAAACCCUGAAGCAGCAACGCCGCGUGGAGGAUGACACUUUUCGGAGCGUAAACUCCUUUUCUUAGGGAAGAACAAUGACGGUACCUAAGGAAUAAGCACCGGCUAACUCCGUGCCAGCAGCCGCGGUAAUACGGAGGGUGCAAGCGUUACUCGGAAUCACUGGGCGUAAAGGACGCGUAGGCGGAUUAUCAAGUCUUUUGUGAAAUCUAAUGGCUUAACCAUUAAACUGCUUGAGAAACUGAUAAUCUAGAGUGAGGGAGAGGCAGAUGGAAUUGGUGGUGUAGGGGUAAAAUCCGUAGAGAUCACCAAGAAUACCCAUUGCGAAGGCGAUCUGCUGGAACUUAACUGACGCUAAUGCGUGAAAGCGUGGGGAGCAAACAGGAUUAGAUACCCUGGUAGUCCACGCCCUAAACGAUGUAUACUAGUUGUUGCUAUGCUAGUCAUGGCAGUAAUGCACCUAACGGAUUAAGUAUACCGCCUGGGGAGUACGGUCGCAAGAUUAAAACUCAAAGGAAUAGACGGGGACCCGCACAAGCGGUGGAGCAUGUGGUUUAAUUCGAAGAUACGCGAAGAACCUUACCUGGGCUUGAUAUCCUAAGAACCUCUUAGAGAUAAGAGGGUGCUAGCUUGCUAGAACUUAGAGACAGGUGCUGCACGGCUGUCGUCAGCUCGUGUCGUGAGAUGUUCGGUUAAGUCCGGCAACGAGCGCAACCCACGUAUUUAGUUGCUAACAGUUUGGCUGAGCACUCUAAAUAUACUGCCUUCGUAAGGAGGAGGAAGGUGUGGACGACGUCAAGUCAUCAUGGCCCUUAUGCCCAGGGCGACACACGUGCUACAAUGGCAUAUACAAUGAGACGCAAUAUCGCGAGAUGGAGCAAAUCUAUAAAAUAUGUCCCAGUUCGGAUUGUUCUCUGCAACUCGAGAGCAUGAAGCCGGAAUCGCUAGUAAUCGUAGAUCAGCCAUGCUACGGUGAAUACGUUCCCGGGUCUUGUACUCACCGCCCGUCACACCAUGGGAGUUGAUUUCACUCGAAGCCCAAAUACCAAACUGGUUAUGGUCCACAGUGGAAUCAGCGACUG